GAUCAUUUGACUGAAGAAACCAGACAGAAUCUCAGGUGUUAAAUUCGAGUCUUUACUGAGACAGGGCAGAAGAAAAAAUGGGACCUCCCGUAUCCUCAUUACUGAUCUUGUGGCUUCAGCUGGACUGGAUGAGUGGCCAACAGGUGCAACAGAGUCCUGAAUCCCUGAUGCUCCAUGAGAGAGAAAGCACCACUUUGAACUGCACUUACACAAGCUCUAUAAACAACCUACAAUGGUACAGACAUCAUCCUGGGAAAGGCCCCAUGAUCCUGUUUACAAUAGUUUUAGAUGGGGAUGAGAAAGAACAAGGAAGAUUGAAAGCUACCCUCAGCACUAAGGGACGUCACAGUUCCCUGAGCAUCUCAGCUGCCCAGCCCAGAGACUCAGCCACCUACUUCUGUGCUGUGGAGGCACAGUGA
Molecule: non-coding RNA, 419 nt
Organism: Dromiciops gliroides (monito del monte)
Lineage: Eukaryota; Metazoa; Chordata; Mammalia; Microbiotheria; Microbiotheriidae
Source: the annotation of a RefSeq genome assembly